RNAcentral lists this ribosomal RNA (550 nucleotides) under uncultured bacterium. RNAcentral describes it as "bacterial SSU rRNA". It matches the Rfam family "Bacterial small subunit ribosomal RNA", at positions 355 to 896 of the family's 1533-position model. The record is from RNAcentral.
UAGGGAAUCUUCGGCAAUGGACGGAAGUCUGACCGAGCAACGCCGCGUGAGUGAAGAAGGUUUUCGGAUCGUAAAGCUCUGUUGUAAGAGAAGAACGAGUGUGAGAGUGGAAAGUUCACACUGUGACGGUAUCUUACCAGAAAGGGACGGCUAACUACGUGCCAGCAGCCGCGGUAAUACGUAGGUCCCGAGCGUUGUCCGGAUUUAUUGGGCGUAAAGCGAGCGCAGGCGGUUAGAUAAGUCUGAAGUUAAAGGCUGUGGCUUAACCAUAGUAGGCUUUGGAAACUGUUUAACUUGAGUGCAAGAGGGGAGAGUGGAAUUCCAUGUGUAGCGGUGAAAUGCGUAGAUAUAUGGAGGAACACCGGCGGCGAAAGCGGCUCUCUGGCUUGUAACUGACGCUGAGGCUCGAAAGCGUGGGGAGCAAACAGGAUUAGAUACCCUGGUAGUCCACGCUGUAAACGAUGAGUGCUAGGUGUUAGACCCUUUCCGGGGUUUAGUGCCGUAGCUAACGCAUUAAGCACUCCGCCUGGGGAGUACGACCGCAAGGUUG